Molecule: ribosomal RNA, 1243 nt
Filed under: metagenome
Description: bacterial LSU rRNA
Rfam family: Bacterial large subunit ribosomal RNA
Source: RNAcentral
UGAAUACGAGACGCUAAGGCGUCGAAGUAGUGUAUGUCAUACUUCCAAGAAAAGCUUGCACUGUCAUAGAUAAAAAACGCCUGUACCAUAACCGACACAGGUGGGUAGGUAGAGUAUACUAAGGGGCGCGAGAUAACUCUCUCUAAGGAACUCGGCAAAAUAACUCCGUAACUUCGGGAGAAGGAGUGCCUUAUUAUUAAGGCUGCAAUAACAAGAUCCAAGCAACUGUUUAUCAAAAACACAGGUCUCCGCUAAGUCGUAAGACGAUGUAUGGGGGCUGACGCCUGCCCAGUGCCAGAAGGUUAAAGAAGUUGGUUAGCAUUUGCGAAGCUGAUAACUGAAGCCCUGGUGAACGGCGGCCGUAACUAUAACGGUCCUAAGGUAGCGAAAUUCCUUGUCGGGUAAGUUCCGACCCGCACGAAAGGCGUAAUGAUUUGGAUACUGUCUCGGAGAGGGGCUCGGUGAAAUAGACUUGUCUGUGAAGAUGCGGACUACCUGCACCAGGACAGAAAGACCCUAUGAAGCUUUACUGUAACUUGAAAUUGAAAUUGGACUUUAUUCGCGCAGCAUAGGUGGGAGGCGUUGAUUAUAAUCUUGUGGGAUUAUUGGAGCCAUCAGUGAGAUACCACUCUUGUAAUGUUAGAUUUCUAACUUUGAAUCAUUAUCUGGUCAAAGAACAGUUUCAGGCGGGCAGUUUGACUGGGGCGGUCGCCUCCUAAACGGUAACGGAGGCGUACAAAGGUUUCCUCUGAACGGUUAGAAAUCGUAUCUAGAGUGUAAAGGCAUAAGGAAGCUUGACUGUGAGACCUACAAGUCGAGCAGGGACGAAAGUCGGUCUUAGUGAUCUGACGGUACUGAGUGGAAAGGCCGUCACUCAACGGAUAAAAGUUACUCUAAGGAUAACAGGCUGAUCUCCCCCAAGAGUUCACAUCGACGGGGAGGUUUGGCACCUCGAUGUCGGCUCAUCGCAUCCUGGGGCGGUAGUACGUCCCAAGGGUUGGGCUGUUCGCCCAUGAAAGCGGUACGCGAGCUGGGUUCAGAACGUCGUGAGGCAGUUCGGUCCAUAUCCGGUGUAGGCGUUAGAAUAUUGAGAGGAGCCUUCUUUAGUACGAGAGGACCGAGAAGGACAUACCUCUGGUGUACCAGUUAUCGUGCCAACGGUAAACGCUGGGUAGCUAUGUAUGGAGUGGAUAACCGCUGAAAGCAUCUAAGUGGGAAGCCCACCUCAAGAUAAGUAUUCUCC